AUUACACGUCGCUUUGAGUUCUUGUUUGUAAUGUUUGACCAUUCGUCUUAUUAAAAAAAAUAGAAUUAUUAUUUAUUUUCUUUAUGAUUUGCUUUAUUAUAAAAAUUACUUUAUGUAUGACUUUUCUUUUUUUAUAUUUACACUAAUUUUUCAAAUAAAACGAAUGGUCAAACGUUGCAAGUAAAAAGUCAAAGUAACAUCUAUU
This 205-nucleotide microRNA precursor is filed under the name Oryza meridionalis. Its description in RNAcentral is "MIR812 microRNA precursor family". It matches the Rfam family "MIR812 microRNA precursor family". The record is from Rfam by way of RNAcentral. Lineage: Eukaryota; Viridiplantae; Streptophyta; Magnoliopsida; Poales; Poaceae.